This 102-nucleotide transfer RNA is filed under the name Cephalotrichum gorgonifer. RNAcentral describes it as "transfer RNA-Leu(AAG)". It matches the Rfam family "tRNA". Rfam says of the family: Transfer RNA (tRNA) molecules are approximately 80 nucleotides in length. Their secondary structure includes four short double-helical elements and three loops (D, anti-codon, and T loops). Further hydrogen bonds mediate the characteristic L-shaped molecular structure. tRNAs have two regions of fundamental functional importance: the anti-codon, which is responsible for specific mRNA codon recognition, and the 3' end, to which the tRNAs corresponding amino acid is attached (by aminoacyl-tRNA synthetases). tRNAs cope with the degeneracy of the genetic code in two manners: having more than one tRNA (with a specific anti-codon) for a particular amino acid; and 'wobble' base-pairing, i.e. permitting non-standard base-pairing at the 3rd anti-codon position. Lineage: Eukaryota; Fungi; Ascomycota; Sordariomycetes; Microascales; Microascaceae. The record is from RNAcentral.
GGUAACAUGGCCGAGCGGUCUAAGGCGCCAGGUUAAGGUAUUCCUUAACGAUUAAUUCCUGGUCAUGGUUUCAUGGCGUGAGUUCGAAUCUCACUGUUAUCA